Molecule: long non-coding RNA, 1106 nt
Filed under: Vigna radiata
Lineage: Eukaryota; Viridiplantae; Streptophyta; Magnoliopsida; Fabales; Fabaceae
Description: long non-coding RNA (VRAD_LNC009104)
Source: RNAcentral
UGUAAAAUAUUAAUAUAAACAAACUCAAUCUUAUUAAAAAUAUUAAUAAAAAUAUCAAUUUUAAUAAAAAUAUCAUUAUAACAUUUAUUAUAGGUGAUAAAACUGGUCAACCUAACCUGUUUAACCGUGACCUGGUCUCUCAAAAGAGUGAUGCUCCCUCCAUCACCCAUCUUCUCCCUACUCCUCCUUUUUUUUUUUUAAUUCCAAAUUUAUCUUUUUUACUUUUUACUUUUACCCAUUUAACUUUUUAUUUUUUAAAACCUUAAUCUCAAUAUCAUUUCCCUUUCACUCUCAGCAAGCCUUCACCCCUGUCACUUUCUCUCUUUCUCUUAAUUUUCAUUUCAGUUAAUACAACAUUUUCCAUUUCCGUUUCUCUUUUCUUUCUUCUCCCCACAUAACUUAUCAUUUCUUUUUCAAAUAAUCUCAAUAAUCAACCAUCUACACGUAAUUAAGCUAUGAAAUAUAUAUCAUCCUCUUAGUUGAGUUUUCACUGGUUGUGUUUGAUAAAGUCUAAAUUCCUUCCCUACAUGGGCCUUCAUGUGAUCCCUUAAAAUGGGGAAUACAACAAUGCUGCUACUACCUAAUUUCUUGUAAGGUUAAUAUUAUUAUUAUAACAGGUUUUGAUUAUACCAGUUAUUGCACUACCUGAAAGUUCCUUAUUAUAAAUUAGGCUUAAAUACCUAUUUAAUCCCCAAGUUUGGGGCUGAAUUUCCGUUUGGUACCCGGUUUUAAAAGUGAUUUAAUUAGGUUCCCAAGUUGUUUAUUUUGCUUGCAAUAGGUCCCUUCCGUUAAGUAGCUUGUAACGACGUUAAUUUUUCUUCUCUCUCCUCUCUUAUUCCUGACACAUCUUUCUCUCCCUCUUAUUUCUUUUCUCUCUCUCACCAUUACAACAUCAUUGUAACUAUCUCUCUCCCACCUUUUUCUCUCUCUUCUAUUUCUCUCAAUCAUCAUUAUAACUACCUCUGACCUUUUUCUCUCUCACCUUUUUCAUCUCUUCACUAUUUCAUUUCUCUCUCUCUUCUUCUUCUUCUUCUUUCAUUCUUUUCUAUUUUUUUUACUGCAAAUGUAUAGAUAUUGCCUUUAAGUCUCAUGAAAGAAGGCUGGCC